This 794-nucleotide ribosomal RNA is filed under the name uncultured archaeon. Its description in RNAcentral is "bacterial SSU rRNA". It matches the Rfam family "Archaeal small subunit ribosomal RNA", at positions 85 to 876 of the family's 1478-position model. The record is from RNAcentral.
ACGGCUCAGUAACACGUAGUCAACCUACCCUUGGGACGGGGACAACCUCGGGAAACUGAGGCUAAUCCCCGAUAGGCGGGGGACGCUGGGAUGCCCCCUCGCCCAAAGCUCCGGCGCCCGAGGAUGGGACUGCGGCCUAUCAGGCUGUCGGUGGUGUAACGGACCACCAAACCUACGACGGGUACGGGCGAUGGGAGUCGGAGCCCGGAGAUGGGGACUGAGACAAGGCCCCAGGCCCUACGGGGCGCAGCAGGCGCGAAAACUCCGCAAUGCGCGCAAGCGUGACGGGGGGACCCCAAGUGCCGUUGGUCUUUCGAUCGACGGUUUUUAGGAAGUCUAAGAAGCUUCCAGAAUAAGGGCUGGGCAAGACUGGUGCCAGCCGCCGCGGUAACACCAGCAGCCCAAGUGGUGGCCACGAUUAUUGGGCCUAAAGCGCUCGUAGCCGGAUCAAUAAGUCCCUUGUGAAAUCGGGCCGCCCAACGGUUCGGCGUGCAAGGGAUACUGUUGGUCUUGAGGCCGGGAGAGGUCGGAGGUACUCCUGGGGUAGCGGUGAAAUGCUCUAAUCCUAGGGGGACCACCAGUGGCGAAGGCGUCCGACCAGAACGGACCUGACGGUGAGGGGCGAAGGCUAGGGGAGCGAACGGGAUUAGAUACCCCGGUAGUCCUAGCUGUAAAGCAUGCGGGCCAGGUGUCUAGCGCUCCUUGAGGGCGCUAUGUGCCGGAGGGAAGCCGUUAAGCCCGCCGCCUGGGAAGUACGGUCGCAAGGCUGAAACUUAAAGGAAUUGGCGGGGGAG